CGGCGUGCUUAACACAUGCAAGUCGAACGGAAAGGCCCUGCUUUUGUGGGGUGCUCGAGUGGCGAACGGGUGAGUAACACGUGAGUAACCUGCCCUUGACUUUGGGAUAACUUCAGGAAACUGGGGCUAAUACCGGAUAGGAGCUCCUGCUGCAUGGUGGGGGUUGGAAAGUUUCGGCGGUUGGGGAUGGACUCGCGGCUUAUCAGCUUGUUGGUGGGGUAGUGGCUUACCAAGGCUUUGACGGGUAGCCGGCCUGAGAGGGUGACCGGCCACAUUGGGACUGAGAUACGGCCCAGACUCCUACGGGAGGCAGCAGUGGGGAAUAUUGCACAAUGGGCGGAAGCCUGAUGCAGCAACGCCGCGUGCGGGAUGACGGCCUUCGGGUUGUAAACCGCUUUCGCCUGUGACGAAGCGUGAGUGACGGUAAUGGGUAAAGAAGCACCGGCUAACUACGUGCCAGCAGCCGCGGUGAUACGUAGGGUGCGAGCGUUGUCCGGAUUUAUUGGGCGUAAAGGGCUCGUAGGUGGUUGAUCGCGUCGGAAGUGUAAUCUUGGGGCUUAACCCUGAGCGUGCUUUCGAUACGGGUUGACUUGAGGAAGGUAGGGGAGAAUGGAAUUCCUGGUGGAGCGGUGGAAUGCGCAGAUAUCAGGAGGAACACCAGUGGCGAAGGCGGUUCUCUGGGCCUUUCCUGACGCUGAGGAGCGAAAGCGUGGGGAGCGAACAGGCUUAGAUACCCUGGUAGUCCACGCUGUAAACGGUGGGUACUAGGUGUGGGGUCCAUUCCACGGGUUCCGUGCCGUAGCUAACGCUUUAAGUACCCCGCCUGGGGAGUACGGCCGCAAGGCUAAAACUCAAAGGAAUUGACGGGGCCCCGCACAAGCGGCGGAGCAUGCGGAUUAAUUCGAUGCAACGCGUAGAACCUUACCUGGGUUUGACAUGGAUCGGGAGUGCUCAGAGAUGGGCGUGCCUCUUUUGGGGUCGGUUCACAGGUGGUGCAUGGCUGUCGUCAGCUCGUGUCGUGAGAUGUUGGGUUAAGUCCCGCAACGAGCGCAACCCUUGUUCACUGUUGCCAGCACGUUAUGGUGGGGACUCAGUGGAGACCGCCGGGGUCAACUCGGAGGAAGGUGGGGAUGACGUCAAGUCAUCAUGCCCCUUAUGUCCAGGGCUUCACGCAUGCUACAAUGGCUGGUACAGAGAGUGGCGAGCCUGUGAGGGUGAGCGAAUCUCGGAAAGCCGGUCUCAGUUCGGAUUGGGGUCUGCAACUCGACCUCAUGAAGUCGGAGUCGCUAGUAAUCGCAGAUCAGCAACGCUGCGGUGAAUACGUUCCCGGGGCUUGUACACACCGCCCGUCAAGUCAUGAAAGUUGGUAACACCCGAAGCCGGUGGCCUAACCGUUGUGGGGGAGCCGUCGAAGGUGGGACUGGUGAUUAGGACUAAGUCAUAA
RNAcentral lists this ribosomal RNA (1444 nucleotides) under uncultured organism. RNAcentral's name for it is "partial small subunit ribosomal RNA". It matches the Rfam family "Bacterial small subunit ribosomal RNA". The record is from RNAcentral.